RNAcentral lists this long non-coding RNA (999 nucleotides) under Olea europaea (common olive). RNAcentral's name for it is "long non-coding RNA (OEUR_LNC001471)". The record is from RNAcentral. Lineage: Eukaryota; Viridiplantae; Streptophyta; Magnoliopsida; Lamiales; Oleaceae.
AAAUCAUUUCCUUACCUUAACUUCUUCAUACUUCUUUCUUGUACAUUAAAAAAUGUCAUCCAAAGCAGAUCUUGCCAGAAUAGGAAAGGAGGCCUUCGACAUACUUGAAGCAUAUCAGGGAAAAAAGACAAGGCCUAAUUCACACCCCAAGCAAGAGCAUAAACCGGCCUGUCUUUACCGAUACCAUCCACAACAGGCUCUUGUUUAUCAGGUAAAACCGAAUGAGAUUAUGAACUCCUAUGAGGUGUUGCAGUUUCACGAAGGUGUGAACAUUAAGAAUUAUGGCAGCAAAUCUCAAGCUAUACCUUAUUAGACUCUCUUUUCUGCACUGUGUUUAUAUGUAAUAUACGAUAUGCAAAUAGGCAAAGUUAAGUAUGCUUCCCUUUGUAUGACACAAAAGUGGAGUCAGUUGUAUACAUACUAGUCAUCUGGCAGUUUUAAGUGCGUAGAUGAAGUCUGUAACACUUUGUUAUAUGAAUUGGUGUUAUCAGAUUUAAUAAUGAAUUAGUAGUAUUCUUCAGCAACCCUCCAACCCCCCCACCCCACCCCACCCCAUCCUCUCGUCUUCUCUUCUUAACUAGAAAAAUAACUUACCGAAAUAUAUGGCUGACCAGAGCUUUGACGGUAGCUGAUUCCAUGCCUUUUGACCAGUUCUUGCUUCACUUCUAUUAAGGCCACAUCCGCUAUGCGCUCAAGCAUCUUGGAAUUUCUUUCUCUCAUAAGAUGAUAAGGCCAAAUCCCUGAGAGCUCCAAUAUCAAGCAAUGGAAUAACUUAUUAGCACUACGGAUGGAGGGUUGGAUAUAAAAUUUCAAAUCAGGCUAUUACGUGGGGAAAAAAAAAAUUUACACAUAAAAAAUUAAUUUUUUACCAAAAAAAAUAUAAAAUACCUUUAAAAAAAAGUUGUUGGGCCUCCACCCCCACCAAAAUCCGUCCCUGCUUAUACGAUACAUGUACUAGAGAAAAAAACCCGAAGGGUACAUAAUUUUAGACCCUUAUGG